RNAcentral lists this ribosomal RNA (470 nucleotides) under Suhomyces xylopsoci. RNAcentral's name for it is "eukaryotic LSU rRNA". The stretch from base 96 to 248 matches the Rfam family "5.8S ribosomal RNA". Lineage: Eukaryota; Fungi; Ascomycota; Pichiomycetes; Serinales; Debaryomycetaceae. The record is from RNAcentral.
UUAGUACUACACUGCGUGAGCGGACGAAAACAACAACACCUAAAAUGUGGAAUAUAGCAUAUAGUCGACAAGAGAAAUCUACGAAAAACAAACAAAACUUUCAACAACGGAUCUCUUGGUUCUCGCAUCGAUGAAGAGCGCAGCGAAAUGCGAUACCUAGUGUGAAUUGCAGCCAUCGUGAAUCAUCGAGUUCUUGAACGCACAUUGCGCCCCUCGGCAUUCCGGGGGGCAUGCCUGUUUGAGCGUCGUUUCCAUCUUGCGCGUGCGCAGAGUUGGGGGAGCGGAGCGGACGACGUGUAAAGAGCGUCGGAGCUGCGACUCGCCUGAAAGGGAGCGAAGCUGGCCGAGCGAACUAGACUUUUUUUCAGGGACGCUUGGCGGCCGAGAGCGAGUGUUGCGAGACAACAAAAAGCUCGACCUCAAAUCAGGUAGGAAUACCCGCUGAACUUAAGCAAUAAGCGGAGGAAAAG